UGUCAUAAAAAAGUUUUUAUGGUAGUACCUGCUCUAUGUUUUUAUAAAUGGCCGCAGUAUCUUGACUGUGCAAAGGUAGCAUAAUUAAUUGCCUUAUAAUUGAAGGCUUGUUUGAAUGGUUUGACGUGGUAAUCACUAAUAUUUAUUUUUUUAUUGAAAUUGGUCUAGAGGGCACAGAAUCCUCUUUAUUUUAAUUAGACGGAAAGACCCCAGGAUCUUUUAUUUUUUGUCUGGGGCAGAUUUAAAUAUUUUAUUUGUAUUUAGACCCUCUUUGGUUUAAUGAUUAAGUUACCCUGGGGAUAACAGUGUAAUAGUUUAUUAGAGACCUUAUCGAAUAAAUUGUUUGCUACCUCGAUGUUGACUUAGGUAAGUAAGUUAGGCGCAGUAGUCUAAUAUUUUGGUCUGUUCGACCUUUGUUACCUCC
RNAcentral lists this ribosomal RNA (424 nucleotides) under Rudolphiella piracatinga. Its description in RNAcentral is "partial 16S ribosomal RNA". It matches the Rfam family "Bacterial large subunit ribosomal RNA", at positions 1888 to 2599 of the family's 2925-position model. Lineage: Eukaryota; Metazoa; Platyhelminthes; Cestoda; Proteocephalidea; Monticelliidae. The record is from RNAcentral.